RNAcentral lists this long non-coding RNA (602 nucleotides) under Ficedula albicollis (Collared flycatcher). Its description in RNAcentral is "lncRNA (ENSFALG00000019360.2)". Lineage: Eukaryota; Metazoa; Chordata; Aves; Passeriformes; Muscicapidae. The record is from RNAcentral.
UUUGGCUCCGGCGCCGUGCGGAGGAUUUGGGAGAUUUGAGCUGGAGCAGAGCGAGGAUUAAUUUGGAUUAUUGGGAUAUUAGCUGCAAUAUUAGCUGGUUUACAGGGAUGAAGUCUCCGGGGCACAAACACCCAUCGGCCCCAAAUUAAAGCGCUAAUGAGCUGGAAUAAGGUGCGAGGGGAAACUGAGGCACGGACUGGAGCCAACCCUCGCCCCACGAUCCCCCCGGGGCCUCCAUCGCCCUCCCCGGGGCUUUUCCGAGUUCAUUUCGAAGCCGUCGCUCUCGCCCAUUUCGUUUCCUGCUUUGGAGGUUUCGCUCUUCGCUCAAAACCCGACGGGGAAAUUCCCUCCCCCAAAUUUGCUUCUGCUCGAUUUUCGGGCGGCCGCCACUCUCGGCUCGACAUCACCGCGGCCACCGGGCAGGGCCAGCACGGUCCUCAGCAGGGUGAUUCCCUGCCCCCCGCCCUGCCCAGGUGUGAUGGACGUGCAGGAGGUGCUCCUGCAGCUCUGGGGGGAGGUGGCCAGGCUGCAGGAGCUGUGCUCGGAGCAGGGGAGGCUCCUCCGGAGGCUGAGGGCCAGGAAGGGACCGGUCCUGGGUGAGU